Molecule: RNA transcript, 2623 nt
Organism: Tachysurus fulvidraco (yellow catfish)
Lineage: Eukaryota; Metazoa; Chordata; Actinopteri; Siluriformes; Bagridae
Gene: cd8b
Gene name: cd8 beta
Exons: 7
Source: RefSeq, a predicted model, not a curated record
GUGGCUGGGCUCAACACACUCCAGUUCCUCCCUGCUUUAUGACAUAAGAAGAAGGACGAGCAGCAAAAACACCAAAGCAAGCACACACACACACCCAUACACACACACACACACCCCGUGCUGCAUGCCUAAAGAUGACCCUCAAUCAUAUCUGGAGCUUUAUCUGCUUUCUGACAGCAGCCUCUGCGGUAACAGUGUCCUACCCGAGCAUCAACGGCACCGAGGACCUGACAUGCUGCUGUCCGGACCACCAGUGUAUGCAGGCGUACUGGUACCGUUUACUUCAGGGAAGCGACACACCCGAGUUCAUAGUGUAUAUCAACAACUUGAAAAUUCAUGAAUUUGGAAAAUCCAUUGACAAAAACCGCUUCAAGGCAACUGCAUUCGACUCACAAAAGAUAUGUUACACGCUGCGCAUCUCUGGCUUACAGAAGCAAGAUGCAGGUUUCUACUCGUGUGUGAUCAAAACUCAGAAUUCAGCACAAAAUCCCAAAGAUCUGAUGCCUGACGGAUACGUCAUCUGGCCAGGAGUAAUCAUAUCAACUCCGGCACCAUCAACAGUGAAAACUCCAAAGCGUAGGAAGCCUCAGCCUAACAAGUGCAAACCCAGCAAUCCGAAAGGGUGCAAGUCUCUGGUUCUUUGGUCAGGCAUCGGUGCUGUUCUGCUCCUGGUGGUGGUCCUGAUCUCAACACUGUAUUACUACAGCAGUGGAUUCAUUACAAUUGCUCCCGUAUCCGAUCCUCGUGUGAUCGGGCAGGUUUCCAUUUAAGAAGGAUGGCACUCCUAGCCAAAACGUUGGGCUACCCAAGAAGUGCAGACAUCACUUUGUUAAAACGAGGCAGCUGAGCUGAGACAGGACGAGACGAGACGAGACAGGACGAGACAUCACUCCAUCGUGGCAAACCUUUUUUUUUCUUCCUGUAAAUAAAUCAUCUGUACAAUGAAACAUCCUUUUUUUUACGCCUUCUUGCAGACGCCCUUCCCUCGGGCUCGAAUAAGAGACUACAGUCAAGGCUGUACAGUAGUUCUCUUUCCCUCCUUGUUCUGUAAUGUUUAUAUUUAUUUAUUUCUUCAGCAUGAUGCUUUUUUAUUACAGAUUACAAUCAUCUAAGCAACUAAGUAAGUUUUAUUGACCCAGGAUUAAAACGUUCCUAGCUUGGACUCGACACAGGGAACAAGUUGAAUGAAGUCCUUUGAGUGAAGAUCGUAAUGUUAAUGAUUUUUAAUAGAAUAAUAGAAGUGGCUCAAAGUUCGACUUAGUACUGCAGAGACGGAUAGGAUUUCUCAUACACUUCUUUUCUAAAUUGUAACAUAGUAAAAGAAAACAUGGUAUUUGAAAAAGCUUGUUUUUUUGUUGAUUUUGUCUUUUGAUGUUGAAAUUUUUAGCUGAAGUUCAAGCGAUUCUGUCGCAUUAUAAAGCAGCCACUUUGCCCCAGAGUUGCUUGAAUUCUAGAAGGAGAAAGACAAAGAAAUUCAGCUCGUCCUGAAGUUGAGUCUUUUCCCAAAAGCUGUUUUAUUGCUCUUUAGAAAGCUUCAGUAUUUGUUCAUGGAUCGUUUUUGUCCAUUUACAGUUACUUACAGUAUAAAGGUUUGUAAGAUCCAUAUAAGAAGUCGUUUCCUUACCAGCUGCUUGUUUUCUCUCUCGGGAAGUUAAAUAGAAAUGCAGCUUGUCAUGUUACUCGUGUUACCUUUUAGUCCUGAAAACUUUCAUGUGUUGAAAAAACUUACAAAAUGCUGAGACUGAAGACUCCUUCCUUAAGUUUUUAAUAAAUACAGUAUGUCCUCACAGAAAACAUCACAGUUACAUAUCGACAAUAACACAUAAAGAGAUAUUUUCUGUGCUAGUCUCCUCGUACGCUAACGAUAACGUAUUUCAACAGAGCUUUAAAGUACAGUACACAAAUCGACACUUUCUGACCAAUCAGAAUCGAGAAUUAAGCAGCACUGUGGUUUAAAGAAUACAUUAACUAGUGUCUGUUCUGUCCAUCGCUAUAAAUUUUGCCAAUUUACAACCACAAGCAUGUUAGUAUUUGAAUUAUUUUUUUUUAUCACAGAAUGGCGUACACACUUGUCGAUUUACAAAUAAAUCAGUUAAUACAGAUAUAAUAAAUGAUAUAUUCACUCAUUUAAUACUGAAUUUGUUAAGCGUAUUAAUACUGUGAGUAAUGAGACUUAACGCUAGUUUAUUAUCCGUCAUGCUUUUUACGCUAGCUAGUGGGACAGUUUUGAGAAACGAUCUAGCUUCAUAUUGCAGGUUCAAUUUCAAGCUACAGAGUGAUAAGAAAUGGAAAAACUCAUUAGUAAUCGUUUGGCUGUGCGUGAUUUAAUGAAGGACAUCUAGCUCAUUCACCUGAAUGCUUCUGUAACUUUCUAGUUUCCAAAAAAAUAUAUAUAUCUUUUUCCAUUCAAAGUAUUUUUGUAUUUAUUUGUUGUACUGUUUUGUACUGAAUCUUUUCUCCCAAAGAUCAACCCAUUUAAUGUUUCAGCUAAAAAUGUGGGUUUUUUGUGUGAAAUUUCUUUAUUUUCAAAAGUUGGAUGUACAAGUUGUGUUAGAAAUAUGUUUUACGGCUUGUGAAACACGUCACGGUCGUUUUUAGAACUGAAUAAAGGAGCUUUAUCGAC